Molecule: ribosomal RNA, 1501 nt
Filed under: Staphylococcus aureus
Lineage: Bacteria; Bacillati; Bacillota; Bacilli; Caryophanales; Staphylococcaceae
Description: partial 16S ribosomal RNA
Rfam family: Bacterial small subunit ribosomal RNA
Source: RNAcentral
UACAUGCAAGUCGAGCGAACGGACGAGAAGCUUGCUUCUCUGAUGUUAGCGGCGGACGGGUGAGUAACACGUGGAUAACCUACCUAUAAGACUGGGAUAACUUCGGGAAACCGGAGCUAAUACCGGAUAAUAUUUUGAACCGCAUGGUUCAAAAGUGAAAGACGGUCUUGCUGUCACUUAUAGAUGGAUCCGCGCUGCAUUAGCUAGUUGGUAAGGUAACGGCUUACCAAGGCAACGAUGCAUAGCCGACCUGAGAGGGUGAUCGGCCACACUGGAACUGAGACACGGUCCAGACUCCUACGGGAGGCAGCAGUAGGGAAUCUUCCGCAAUGGGCGAAAGCCUGACGGAGCAACGCCGCGUGAGUGAUGAAGGUCUUCGGAUCGUAAAACUCUGUUAUUAGGGAAGAACAUAUGUGUAAGUAACUGUGCACAUCUUGACGGUACCUAAUCAGAAAGCCACGGCUAACUACGUGCCAGCAGCCGCGGUAAUACGUAGGUGGCAAGCGUUAUCCGGAAUUAUUGGGCGUAAAGCGCGCGUAGGCGGUUUUUUAAGUCUGAUGUGAAAGCCCACGGCUCAACCGUGGAGGGUCAUUGGAAACUGGAAAACUUGAGUGCAGAAGAGGAAAGUGGAAUUCCAUGUGUAGCGGUGAAAUGCGCAGAGAUAUGGAGGAACACCAGUGGCGAAGGCGACUUUCUGGUCUGUAACUGACGCUGAUGUGCGAAAGCGUGGGGAUCAAACAGGAUUAGAUACCCUGGUAGUCCACGCCGUAAACGAUGAGUGCUAAGUGUUAGGGGGUUUCCGCCCCUUAGUGCUGCAGCUAACGCAUUAAGCACUCCGCCUGGGGAGUACGACCGCAAGGUUGAAACUCAAAGGAAUUGACGGGGACCCGCACAAGCGGUGGAGCAUGUGGUUUAAUUCGAAGCAACGCGAAGAACCUUACCAAAUCUUGACAUCCUUUGACAACUCUAGAGAUAGAGCCUUCCCCUUCGGGGGACAAAGUGACAGGUGGUGCAUGGUUGUCGUCAGCUCGUGUCGUGAGAUGUUGGGUUAAGUCCCGCAACGAGCGCAACCCUUAAGCUUAGUUGCCAUCAUUAAGUUGGGCACUCUAAGUUGACUGCCGGUGACAAACCGGAGGAAGGUGGGGAUGACGUCAAAUCAUCAUGCCCCUUAUGAUUUGGGCUACACACGUGCUACAAUGGACAAUACAAAGGGCAGCGAAACCGCGAGGUCAAGCAAAUCCCAUAAAGUUGUUCUCAGUUCGGAUUGUAGUCUGCAACUCGACUACAUGAAGCUGGAAUCGCUAGUAAUCGUAGAUCAGCAUGCUACGGUGAAUACGUUCCCGGGUCUUGUACACACCGCCCGUCACACCACGAGAGUUUGUAACACCCGAAGCCGGUGGAGUAACCUUUUAGGAGCUAGCCGUCGAAGGUGGGACAAAUGAUUGGGGUGAAGUCGUAACAAGGUAGCCGUAUCGGAAGGUGCGGCUGGAUCACCUCCUUU